GAGGGCACAGCUCAGUGGUAGAGUGCCUGCUUAGCAUGUGUGAGGUCCUGGGUUCAAUCCCCAGUACCUCUA
Molecule: transfer RNA, 72 nt
Filed under: Camelus bactrianus (Bactrian camel)
Lineage: Eukaryota; Metazoa; Chordata; Mammalia; Artiodactyla; Camelidae
Also listed under: 1 other name
Rfam family: tRNA
About the family: Transfer RNA (tRNA) molecules are approximately 80 nucleotides in length. Their secondary structure includes four short double-helical elements and three loops (D, anti-codon, and T loops). Further hydrogen bonds mediate the characteristic L-shaped molecular structure. tRNAs have two regions of fundamental functional importance: the anti-codon, which is responsible for specific mRNA codon recognition, and the 3' end, to which the tRNAs corresponding amino acid is attached (by aminoacyl-tRNA synthetases). tRNAs cope with the degeneracy of the genetic code in two manners: having more than one tRNA (with a specific anti-codon) for a particular amino acid; and 'wobble' base-pairing, i.e. permitting non-standard base-pairing at the 3rd anti-codon position.
Source: Rfam by way of RNAcentral